CCUACGGGUGGCAGCAGUGAGGAAUAUUGGUCAAUGGACGAGAGUCUGAACCAGCCAAGUAGCGUGAAGGAUGACUGCCCUAUGGGUUGUAAACUUCUUUUAUAUGGGAAUAAAAUGUUCCACGUGUGGGAUUUUGUAUGUACCAUAUGAAUAAGGAUCGGCUAACUCCGUGCCAGCAGCCGCGGUAAUACGGAGGAUCCGAGCGUUAUCCGGAUUUAUUGGGUUUAAGGUGAACGUAGAUGGGUUGUUAAGUCAGUUGUGAAAGUUUGCGGCUCAACCGUAAAAUUGCAAUUGAUACUGGUAGCCUUGAGUACAGUUGAGGUAGGCGGAAUUCGAGGUGUAGCGGUGAAAUGCUUAGAGAUGACGAAGAAUUCCGAUUGCGAAGGCAGCCUACUAAACAGACACUGACAUUGAUGCUCGAAAGUGUGGGUAGCAAACAGGAUUAGAUACCCGUGUAGUC
RNAcentral lists this ribosomal RNA (460 nucleotides) under uncultured bacterium. Its description in RNAcentral is "partial 16S ribosomal RNA". It matches the Rfam family "Bacterial small subunit ribosomal RNA", at positions 338 to 795 of the family's 1533-position model. The record is from RNAcentral.